RNAcentral lists this ribosomal RNA (254 nucleotides) under uncultured bacterium. Its description in RNAcentral is "partial 16S ribosomal RNA". It matches the Rfam family "Bacterial small subunit ribosomal RNA", at positions 524 to 776 of the family's 1533-position model. The record is from RNAcentral.
CACGUAGGGUGCGAGCGUUGUCCGGAAUUAUUGGGCGUAAAGAGCUCGUAGGCGGUGUGUCGCGUCGGCCGUGAAAACCUGCAGCUUAACUGUGGGCUUGCGGUCGAUACGGGCAUCACUGGAGUUCGGCAGGGGAGACUGGAAUUCCUGGUGUAGCGGUGAAAUGCGCAGAUAUCAGGAGGAACACCGGUGGCGAAGGCGGGUCUCUGGGCCGUAACUGACACUGAGGGACGAAAGCUAGGGGAGCGAAAGGG